AUGUUUCCCCUGCAAAACCCGGGAAUUUUUCUCAAAAAAGUUUCAGGAAUUUCCAUUCCCAAAAAACGGGAAUAUUCCCUUAAAAAUCCCGCGCUUUUAUCAGCCAAUCACUGUGCUUCAUCUCCAAAACCAACCAAUCACCGCGCGCCUCCCCUCAGCAACGCCUGCUUUCCGUUCGCUACUCCAACCAAUCACUGCGCCCCUCCCAAAAACCGGAGGCCCACCAAUCAUGGCGCGGCUCUCCUCAGCAAUUUCCGUCUCACACUACUGAAUCAACCAAUCAACGCACAUCUUCCCUCAGCACCCUCCACCUCUCAUGCAUGUAACGAACCAAUCAGCGCGCAUCUCACCUCUGAAACUCCCUCUUCCCGCCAUAUGAACCAACCAAUCACUGCACGUCUCCCCUCAGCAACUCCCUCUUUUCGCUUUCCGAACCAACCAAUCACCGCGUGUCUCCCCUCAGCACCCUCCUCUUCCCGCCCUCUGAGCCAACCAAUCAGCGCGCGCCUCCCCUCAGCACCCUCCUUUUCCCGCCCUCCGAACCAACCAAUCACUGCGUGUCUCCCCUCAGCACCUUUCUGUUCCCGCCCUCCGAACCAACCAAUCACUGCGUCUCCCAUCAGCACCCUCCUCUUCCCGCCACCUGAACCAACCAAUCACUACACGUCUCCCCUCAGCAACUCCCUCUUUUCGCUCUCCGAACCAACCAAUCAGCGCGCGUCUCCCCUCAGCACCCUCCUCUUCCCGCCGUCCAAACCAACCAAUCACUGCAUGUCUCCCCUCAGCAACUCUCUCUUCCCGCCCUCCAAACCAACCAAUCACUGCGUGCCUCCCCUCAGCACCCUCCUCUUCCCGCCCUCCUCGCCAACCAAUCAGCGCGGGUCCCUUGAAGUGGCUCCUUUUCCACCGGCCGGUGCUGCCCCUGAUCCAGGAUGGACCCCAGUGAGUCCCAAAAAACCCAAAAAUCAGCUCAAAAUCACCCCAAAAACCAAAAAACCCCAAAUCCCCCCCAAAACCCCAAAAUCCCCCCCAAAAAAGGUCGAAGUCCACCAAAAUGCCCCCAAUGCUCCCCUCAGCACCCUCCUUUUCCCGCCCUUCGAGCCAACCAAUCAGCGCGCGUCUCCCUGCUGCACCCUCCUCUUCCCGCCACCUGAACCAACCAAUCACCGCGUGUCUCCCCUCAGCAGCCUCCUGUUCCCGCCCUCGGAAUCAACCAAUCACCGCGUGUCUCCCCUCAGCACCCUCCUCUUCCCGCCCUCCGAACCAACCAAUCACCGCGUGUCUCCCCUCAGCAGCCUCCUGUUCCCGCCCUCGGAACCAACCAAUCACCGCGUCUCUCCCCUCAGCAACUCUCUCUUCCCGCCCUGA
This 1368-nucleotide long non-coding RNA is filed under the name Taeniopygia guttata (zebra finch). RNAcentral's name for it is "lncRNA (ENSTGUG00000022048.1)". Lineage: Eukaryota; Metazoa; Chordata; Aves; Passeriformes; Estrildidae. The record is from RNAcentral.